This 72-nucleotide transfer RNA is filed under the name Heterocephalus glaber (naked mole-rat). It matches the Rfam family "tRNA". From Rfam's summary of the family: Transfer RNA (tRNA) molecules are approximately 80 nucleotides in length. Their secondary structure includes four short double-helical elements and three loops (D, anti-codon, and T loops). The record is from Rfam by way of RNAcentral. Lineage: Eukaryota; Metazoa; Chordata; Mammalia; Rodentia; Bathyergidae.
GGGAGGAUAGCUCAUUUGUUGAGCACUUGCCUAACAUGCAAAAGACCCUAGGUUCCAUCCCUAGUGCUGCAA